Molecule: ribosomal RNA, 409 nt
Filed under: uncultured bacterium
Lineage: Bacteria
Description: bacterial SSU rRNA
Rfam family: Bacterial small subunit ribosomal RNA
Source: RNAcentral
AGAGUUUGAUCCUGGCUCAGAUUGAACGCUGGCGGCAUGCCUUACACAUGCAAGUCGAACGGCAGCACGGGGGCAACCCUGGUGGCGAGUGGCGAACGGGUGAGUAAUAUAUCGGAACGUACCCAGUAGUGGGGGAUAACUAUCCGAAAGGAUAGCUAAUACCGCAUACGAUCUGUGGAUGAAAGCAGGGGAUCUUCGGACCUUGUGCUAUUGGAAUGGCCGGUAUCUGAUUAGCUAGUUGGUAGGGUAAAAGCCUACCAAGGCGACGAUCAGUAGCUGGUCUGAGAGGACGACCAGCCACACUGGAACUGAGACACGGUCCAGACUCCUACGGGAGGCAGCAGUGGGGAAUUCUGGACAAUGGGGGCAACCCUGAUCCAGCAAUGCCGCGUGAGUGAAGAAGGCCCUC